GGCUUAGUAUGUCGAGGAAUUCCUUUCAGGGCUUUUGGGGCUUUUUGGCUUUUGUUUGUUGUUCUCAUUUUUAGACUAAUAGAUUUUCAGGAUGAAGGGAAACUUCUUUGCGUGGCUUUCUCUCCAUCUAUCCUUGCUUUCCCCUUUUUAGGCAAACUUUUUUUCCCUGUAACAUGUUUGUAAUAUUAAUAGAGUGCCUCUAACUUCUGAGACUUCUAAAGACUCUUCAGCUUGAAGAUUGUUCACUUCUGGGAGCCAUGUGACAAUGUGGAUGGAUGAAGGAAAUCAAACAUAUCUCUGAUCAGUCAUGAAACUCACUGGAUAGUCUUGGGCAACUUGUGGUCCUUCAGCCUAACCUACCGCAGAGCGGUUGUGAAGAUAAAAUGAGUUGACCAAAGCACAAGUGUGUGUGAUAUUUGGGCUCUUCUGUCUACAGCUCUUAUUGUUAAUCCGUGUCUGGUUUGCUUCAAAGAAAGAUCCAUCAUGGAUGUUUGGACUCGCUGCUUGCCCUAUUUCAGCUGUCCUGUAACUCUUCCCUGAGUAUGCUUUUUCAAUCUUCAAGAACACGCUGUACUGAGAGAAUAAUCCAGAAAACAGCACUUGCCAAUUGUCUUCCCAUUCCCCCCCACCUGCCGUACACAUGGACACCAUAUGUCCCACAGAAUCUUUACAUUUAUCACUACACUGUUUUUUCUAACACUAUGCUAAAUGAAAUCUGUACCGGUAGUGCAUGUUACACAGCAUAUUAUUUUUCAUAAGUCAUAAAAGCUUUUUU
Molecule: long non-coding RNA, 775 nt
Organism: Hemicordylus capensis (graceful crag lizard)
Lineage: Eukaryota; Metazoa; Chordata; Lepidosauria; Squamata; Cordylidae
Exons: 3
Source: RefSeq, a predicted model, not a curated record